RNAcentral lists this long non-coding RNA (283 nucleotides) under Solanum tuberosum (potato). Its description in RNAcentral is "long non-coding RNA (STUB_LNC004914)". Lineage: Eukaryota; Viridiplantae; Streptophyta; Magnoliopsida; Solanales; Solanaceae. The record is from RNAcentral.
AAACUAAUUAAGAAAACAUAUAAUGACAUUUUCAAAGUAAUAAAUUAAAAUGUACCCUACUGUAUGGAAAUAAGGAGGAUUUGUAUGCAGACAAGGCAUAUUUAAUGAUAAUGAAAGACUACUUAUACAUUACAAAUAACUCAAAAGAGAGUGUGAGAUGGAAAAAUACAACUAGAUCAGUGAACAAGAUCUAUGUGGCAGUGACCACAUUAUGCAAAUCAGUAUCAACCAACAUAUUAUUAACAACUAAGGACAUGUUUACAAGUGCAUUGGACCACCAAAC